This 138-nucleotide microRNA precursor is filed under the name Oryza brachyantha (malo sina). RNAcentral's name for it is "MIR812 microRNA precursor family". It matches the Rfam family "MIR812 microRNA precursor family", at positions 33 to 173 of the family's 205-position model. The record is from Rfam by way of RNAcentral. Lineage: Eukaryota; Viridiplantae; Streptophyta; Magnoliopsida; Poales; Poaceae.
UUUAACUCUUCGUCUUAUUUGAAUUUUUUAAGAUUAAUAUUUUUAUUGUUAUCACAUGAUAAAACAUAACUAGUAUUUUACGCGUGACUAUUUUUUUCAACUUUUUUAUAAAUUUUUUAAAUAAGACGGAUAGUUAAA